This 32-nucleotide ribosomal RNA is filed under the name Dendrobium moschatum. RNAcentral describes it as "partial 26S ribosomal RNA". The record is from RNAcentral. Lineage: Eukaryota; Viridiplantae; Streptophyta; Magnoliopsida; Asparagales; Orchidaceae. RNAcentral also lists the same sequence under 3 other names.
GCGACCCCAGGAUGGGCGAGGCCACCCGCCGA